AGGGAAAUAACUCAGUGGUAGAGCGCAUGCUUAGUAUGCCCGAGGUCCUGGGUUCAAUCCCCAGUGCCUCCA
Molecule: transfer RNA, 72 nt
Filed under: Camelus bactrianus (Bactrian camel)
Lineage: Eukaryota; Metazoa; Chordata; Mammalia; Artiodactyla; Camelidae
Also listed under: 2 other names
Rfam family: tRNA
About the family: Transfer RNA (tRNA) molecules are approximately 80 nucleotides in length. Their secondary structure includes four short double-helical elements and three loops (D, anti-codon, and T loops).
Source: Rfam by way of RNAcentral